CCUACUACUGCAAAUGAUGGACAGACGAUACUAUGCGAAGUGAGGCACCAAACUUUGACGACACCACAAACAGUCGGUCUAACGAUAGCUGUAAAUGCAUCAGACACUCUGCAAACAGUCAUUCCAAUGUCUUCACCAGAACUGACAUGGGGAGAAAUUGUUGCAAUUGUUCUUGGAAUAGUUUUCUUUUUAUUACUUUUAUUAGUUUGUGGAUUAUUACAAGGUUGUUGUGCAUGCUGUUGUGGAUCUGGUGCUAGAAUAUAUGAAGAAAAACGUGAGGCAAAACUUAUGUAUCAAAUUGCCGUUAUAGAAAG
Molecule: long non-coding RNA, 314 nt
Organism: Mytilus trossulus (common blue mussel)
Lineage: Eukaryota; Metazoa; Mollusca; Bivalvia; Mytilida; Mytilidae
Exons: 3
Source: RefSeq, a predicted model, not a curated record